Non-coding RNA from Pelobates cultripes (western spadefoot toad), 204 nucleotides. The record is from the annotation of a GenBank genome assembly. NCBI's taxonomy places the organism in Eukaryota, Metazoa, Chordata, Amphibia, Anura, Pelobatidae.
AUCUGAAGAUGCAUGGAAGAUAGCACUGUGCCCCUGAGAUCUUCUGUACCACCUGGAAAGCAGGUUGUAGGCACACUGGUUUCCUUGAGGAUGUUCUCCUGCAGAUAACGUAUAAGGUCCUGCAAUGUUGCUAGGAUACCCAGCCAUUUAGACGUACUUGUGCCAGCGUGGUAAUAUACUAUAGAUCAUUAAUACCAGGUGAAC